UUACCUGUACCAAAAAUUAAAAACUGAGACUGAAAUUGUAUCUUGUUGUAGAUACCGUAUUAUCAAAAUUAAACACAAGUGUUUAACACGUGACGUGUUGGGGUGGGGAUUCACAUUUCACGCAUACCAAUACCAUAAUCAGUAUCAAAGCUAAUAUGCUGAUCCAAAAGAAGAAAGUAAAAUAAAGUAAAAUCUAAAGGGGAUGCUGGAUAUUAUGCCAAGCAAAAGAAAACAUGUUUCUAUAAUAUGUUUUCCUUUGUGCAUGAAGCGAUGUAUGGAGAUGGGUGCAACAUGGGCUGGCUGUAGUCAAGUAUCACUCAAUCUAAACCAACAAAGUUAAAGAAACUGAAAGUUUCACUAACGCCAAUAACAUUUCACGCUUUACCUCCUGCAGAACAGAUGGAUCAUCACUAAAUCUGGAUGAAAGCUUUAUUAGUUUAUUCAAUCCUUUCUUUUCAAUAAUAGCACUCUUGUUAGCGUCA
Cucumis sativus (cucumber) is the source of this 482-nucleotide long non-coding RNA. RefSeq lists it as uncharacterized. Lineage: Eukaryota; Viridiplantae; Streptophyta; Magnoliopsida; Cucurbitales; Cucurbitaceae. The record is from RefSeq and is a predicted model, not a curated record. The transcript is spliced from 2 exons.